RNAcentral lists this ribosomal RNA (474 nucleotides) under uncultured bacterium. RNAcentral's name for it is "bacterial SSU rRNA". It matches the Rfam family "Bacterial small subunit ribosomal RNA", at positions 8 to 527 of the family's 1533-position model. The record is from RNAcentral.
AGGGUUCGAUUAUGGCUCAGAACGUACGCUGGCGGCACGCCUAACACAUGCAAGUCGAACGAAGUACCAAUACUUAGUGGCAGACGGGUGAGUAACAUGUAGGUAUCUGCCCUUUGGCCUGGAAUAACACGAGGAAACUUGUGCUAAUACCGGAUAAGUCUUUACGGAGAAAGCUUUAUGCACCAUUGGAUGAGCCUGCACUUGAUUAGUUUGUUGGUGGGGUAAUGGCCUACCAAGACUGUGAUCAAUAGCUGAUUUGAGAGGAUGAUCGGCCACAUUGGGACUGAGACACGGCCCAAACUCCUACGGGAGGCAGCAGUGGGGAAUCUUGCACAAUGGAGGAAACUCUGAUGCAGCGAUGCCGCGUGAGUGAAGAAGGCCCCUGGGUUGUAAAGCUCUUUCGUCGGGGAAGAAAAUGACUGUACCCGAAUAAGAAGGUCCGGCUAACUUCGUGCCAGCAGCCGCGGUAAUACA